ACGUCGAUCCGGAUCGUCCAAUCUCAACAUUGUUUUCCGAAGGCAAACUUGGAUUAAAGUGCAUCGAUUUUCGCACUCCAUCCAUAGGUCCUUCGUUUCUCCAUCACCAGCAAAAAAUAAAAAACACAUUUCGCAAUAAAAAAUUACAGAUCCAAAUCCAGUAAAAAGAAAAAAAGAAGAUGAUGAUGAUGAUGCUCAGUGAAUACGAACCAGAAAAAUCAAGGAUUCAUCUUGCGGAAUUAGUUAAACUCGCGCAAUCGAAUUUCCUUUCCAAGUGUUUAUCUUCAUCGCAUAGAUCACAACUUUUAAACUUCAAUUUAAAAAAAAAUACAUUGAGAGACGCAAAAGGGAGAGAAAGCUAAACAGAGGAGCUGAAUGAGACGCCGCACAAAGAGG
RNAcentral lists this long non-coding RNA (396 nucleotides) under Gossypium barbadense (sea-island cotton). Its description in RNAcentral is "long non-coding RNA (GBAR_LNC021784)". The record is from RNAcentral. Lineage: Eukaryota; Viridiplantae; Streptophyta; Magnoliopsida; Malvales; Malvaceae.